Molecule: long non-coding RNA, 369 nt
Filed under: Hordeum vulgare
Lineage: Eukaryota; Viridiplantae; Streptophyta; Magnoliopsida; Poales; Poaceae
Description: long non-coding RNA (HVUL_LNC010138)
Source: RNAcentral
CAAUAAAGAGAUAUUUAUGAGGCACGACACGUGCCUCUGGCCAUCUUCGCAUUGAUGCGUUCGUGUGCGUGUGUUCUGGUCCCGGUGUUUGCGUGAGCGCCGGCGAGAUAUCGAGUGCUAUAGCUAGUUCGUAUACGUUGAGCCGAGUUGCGCGUACACGACUAGUCGAGCUGCAGGGUGAUCGUGUGCUCGAUCCUGAGGGAAAAAAGCCAACAAUUGGUAUCAGAGCAAGGUGUGGAAGCUUCGCCGUCAAGUUGUGUCACGGUGGAGUUGUUGUCACCGUCAAGUUGUGUCACGGACGACGGAAAAUCGAAGAAGAGAAUCAUGUCGACUUCGAAGGCGAGUGGUGGUGGUGUGACCAUCUAGUAC